GGAGCGCAUGCGUAAUUUCCGGAACUCGGCGACCUUUACGCAUGUGCAUGUGAUCGCCUGGUCACCGACGGCGAAUUCUCAAAGUACGAGUCUGACAAUUAUCUUUUUACCAAAGACUGAGGUAAACUUCGCCGUGAAUGGUCAAGCCGGCUGUGAAAGGAGGAGGUUUCGGCAUGGGGCACAUAACCCCAUCUUGUAAAAACCUAGUCUACAGAAAUUCCAAAGACCUCAAUGCAGGGAGGAGGAAGAUGUUCACCUAGAUGGGCAGAUGGACUACACCCGAGGACAAGUUGAAGGACUGGCACAGGACUGAGGAUUCUGGGUUCUUUUGAAGACCCUGACCUGGAGUUACACGCUGACUACGGUUCUUUAGGGAAUGGGACCCACUCUCGGGGUUCCACAAUCGGCAUGCCAAAGGUUUGGCCUAAGAUUUCGGCAUGGAUUCAGAAGCCUGGGAUCGCGAGGAACAAAGGUCAAGGGAAGCAAUCGCGAUUGAAAAUAAAGUGGAAAUAAUAAAGCGUUUGGGAAGAGGUGAAACGCCAUCGGUCAUUGGAAAAGCGUCAGGCUACAGUCGGUCAACGUUUGGAACAAUUUUAAAGGAUAACAGAUAAAGUGAGAAUAAUGGAGCAUGUGAAACGCCCUGCCCCGAUGAAAGGUCUUAUUGGAUCCGUGAGAACUGCUGAGUCACAACUCUUUGUGCUCUAUGAAAGGAAUGGAGAGGAAAAGAAUCAAUAAAUUUUCUGUAAACUGUACAGUGAUGAAACAGACUGCACUUGAGCUGCAAUAUAAAGUUCAAGGCACAAACACUAUUAAUAUUUCAGUAAUAGUUUAAUAAUACUCUCAAUAUAUUGUUUGAUUCAGCAUUCUGUUUGUUGACAUAAUUCUUUAUGAGUUAUUCGUCAUUAUACCGACAUAUCACGAAAGAAAACAAACUAAGUACAGGAGUGUCCCUGUAUUUCUUUUGAUCGAGUCACAAAACACAAUAAAUACAAGGGUAUUUCUGUUCUGAUCAACAGACAGAACUGAACACUAGUAUUUCAGGCUAUUAAUUUAUCCACCUUUCAUUGAAAUGUUAACUUCUAUGGAGUGAAAAUAAUUUUACAAUCUCAAGAAAAUAUAUGAAUCAGGAAGAAAAUUGUUCAACUUGGCCUUCAUCUUAUCAAACCCCUUUCAAGGCUGCUUCCUUGAAACCCACACAACUUAGCUCUGCCUGUUUUUUUUUUAAUGAACAUGAGAUGUUUCUCUCUAAAUUAAAAUAAUUCAUUUCACAGUUCUGUCAACAUAACAAGCAGAGGACAAGCACAAAACUCUGAGGCAUCAUAUCUUGUUUUACAGCAUUUUGGUUAUUGCAGAAAACAGCUAUAUGAAUUCAAAUUAUCAUCCUCCAGUACAUUAAAUCCUGUGCAAUUUAGGAGGAGACACACUUGCUUUUGCUCAAUUAUUCCUAAUCAGAAACCAGUGUUAACAUUUCUAUGGUGCCAGCAACCCAGUUCUCUGUGAGAAGCUUGUACGUUCUCCCUGUGAUCAUGUGGGUUUUCUCUGGGUGGUCACAAGGAUGUAAUUGGGUGGAAUGAGCUCAUUGGGCCAGAAGCGCCUGUUAGCAUGCUGUAUCUCAAGUAAACAGACCCAUGCCAGUUCAGGCAAGUGAAAAUCCCCUCAUAUUCCGUGAAAUGCUUUUGUAAUGAUUAUGCCAGCAAGGUACUCUGUCUUCAAUAGGACUCGAUGCUUAUCCUGGCUGCUGUGUUCUGGGAGAAGCUGAUCUUAAAUGGAAUGGCAGGGAACCAAAGACAACAUGGGUUAGCAGAUUUCGGACAUUCUUGCAGACAGAAUCAUCAGUUUCAAGGAGGAAGCUUCAAAUGUACUUUUUUUCUCUCUCAGACAAGAAGAAACCACAGUUGAGCAGCUGUACAGAAUACCGGCUAUCUACAGUAUCUAUGUAUGAUUCCAUUUUAGCACAAACACAAUCACACCAGACAUAAAUGUGAAUGCUGCUAUGUUACAAAUCAGCAACAAUGAAUAUAUGAUUGACAGGUUUUUUUAAUAUAACAAAUGAAACAUUUAUUAAACACUGUUAAAAAAAACCCAAAAGUAAACAAACGACUAACUUAACCGGAAGUCAGCUGCGAUACGGCAGCUCGAAUAGUUCUUAAAGCGAGAAUACGAAAACAGUUCUUAAAGCGAUAAUGCGAAAACAGUUCCUAGAAGUAGUAAUGCGAAAGUCCAAAUGCUUACACAGUCCGUUGAAGGAGAGUUUUCUUGAAAUGAUUUAAAUCCUCUUUCGUGGAGUUACUGCUGAUCCCAUCCGAAGGAUGUUAUUCCCCGGAGGAUUUACGAUCGAAGGAAAUAAAACGACUUAAAGGCAGUGAGCUUUCUUUGUCAAAACUCUGUAUCCAACCCUCUACUCUUCUGGCAGAACAGGGGUUAUCAUGGAUACUCGUUACUAAUUCCUCGUGUGAAGAUUAAACAAAGGUCGAAUCUGUUUCACCGUCGACAUUAACUUUCCCAAUCCUUUGGGAUUUCCGAACUCCUUUAAGAUCUUCACUCUCCACUGACCAAACUGACAUAGACAUAGAAUAGUACAGCACAUUACAGGCCCUUCGGCUCACGAUGUUGUGCCGACAUUCAGACCCUGCCUCCCAUUUAACCCCCCACCUUAAAUUCCUCCAUAUACCUGUCUAGUAGUCUCUUAAACUUCACUAGUGUAUCUGCCUCAGGCAGUGCAUUCCAUGCACCAACCGCUCUCUGAGUGAAAAACCUUCCUCUAAUAUCCCCCUUGAACUUCCCUCCCCUUACCUUAAAGCCAUGUCCUCUUGUACUGAGCAGUGGUGCCCUGGGGAAGAGGCGCUGGCUGUCCACUCUGUCUAUUCCCCUUAAUACCUUGUAUACCUCUAUCAUGUCUCCUCUCAUCCUCCUUCUCUCCAGACAGUAAAGUCCUAGCUCCCUUAAUCUCUGAUCAUAAUCCAUACUCCCUAAACCAGGCAGCAUCCUGGUAAAUCUCCUCUGUAUCCUUUCCAAUGCUUCCGCAUCCUUCCUAUAGCGAGACGACCAGAACUGGUCAUAGUACUCUAAGUGUGGCCUAACCAGAGUUUUAUACAGCUGCAUCAUUACAUCACGUCUCUUAAACUCUAUCCCUCGACUUAUGAAAGCUAACACCCCAUAAGCUUUCUUAACUACCCUAUCUACCAGUGAGGCAACUUUCAGGGAUCUGUGGACAUGUACCUCCAGAUCCCUCUGCUCCUCCACACUACCAAGUAUCUUGCCAUUUACUUUGUACUCUGCCUUGGAGUUUGUCCUUCCAAAGUGUACCACCACACACUUCUCCGGGUUGAACUCCAUCUGCCACUUCUCAGCCCACUUCUGCAUCCUAUCAAUGUCUCUCUGCAAUCUUCAACAAUCCUCUACACUAUCUACCACACCACCAACCUUUGUAUCGUCUGCAAACUUGCCAACCCACCCUUCUACACCCACAUCCAGGUCAUUAAUGAAAAUUACAAAAAGUAGAGGUCCCAGAACAGAUCCUUGUGGGACACCACUAGUCACAACCCUCCAAUCUGAAUGUACUCCCUCCACCACGACCCUCUGCCUUCUGCAGGCAAGCCAAUUCUGAAUCCACCUGGCCAAACUUUCCUGGAUCCCAUGCCUUCUGACUUUCUGAAUAAGCCUACCAUGUGGAACCUUACUAAAAUCCAUGUAGAUCAUAUCCACUGCACUACCCUCAUCUAUAUGCCUGGUCACCUCCUCAAAGGACACCAUCAGGCUUGUUAAACACGAUCUGCCCUUCACAAAGCCAUGCUGACUGUCCCUGAUCAGACCAUGAUUCUCUAAAUGCCCAUAGAUCCUAUCUUUAAGAAUCUUUUCCAACUGCUUUCCCACCACAGAUGUAAGGCUCACUGGUCUAUAAUUAGCUGGACUAUCCCUACUACCUUUUUUGAAGAAGGGGACAACAUUCGCCUCCCUCCAGUCCUCCGGUAGCAUUCCCGUGGACAACGAGGACAUAAAGAUCCUAGCCAGAGGUUCAGUAAUCUCUUCCCAUGCCUCAUGGAGCAGCCUGGGGAAUAUUCCGUCAGGCCCCGGGGACUUAUCUGUCCUAAUGUAUUUUAACAACUCCAACACCUCCUCUCCCUUAAUAUUAACAUGCUCCAGAACAUCAACCUCACUCAUAUUGUCCUCACUGUCAUCAAGUUUCCUCUUGGGAUGAAUACCAAAGAGAAGUAUUCAUUGAGGACCUCGCUCACUUCCACAGCCUCCAGGCACAUCUUCCCACUUUUAUCUCUAAUCGGUCCUAUCUUCACUCCUGUCAUCCUUUUGUUCUUUACAUAACUGAAGAAUGCCUUGGGGUUUUCCUUUACCCUACUUGCCAAGGCCUUCUCAUGCCCCCUUCUUGCUCUUCUCAGCCCCUUCUUAAGCUCCUUUCUUGCUACCCUAUAUUCCUCAAUAGACCCAUCUGAUCCUUGCUUCCUAAACCUCUUGUAUACUGCCUUCUUCCACCUGACUAAAUUUUCCACCUCACUUUUCACCCAUGAUUCCUUCACCCUACCAUUCUUCAUCUUCCUCACUGGGACAAAUUUAUCCCUAACAUCCUGUAAGAGAUCCCUAAACAUCGACCACAUGUCCAUAGUACAUUUCCCUGCAAAAACAUCAUCCCAAUUCACACCCGCAAGUUCUAGCCUUAUAGCCUCAUAAUUUGCCCUUCCCCAAUUAAAAAUAUUCCUUUCCUCUCUGAUUCUAUCUUUUUCCAUGAUAAUGCUAAAGGUCAGGGAGUGGUGAUCACUGUCCCCCAGAUGCUCACCCACUGACAGAUCUGUGACCUGACCCGGUUCGUUACCUAAUACUAGAUCUAGUAUGGCAUUCCCCUAAGUCGGCCUGUCAGCAUACUGUGACAGGAAUCCAUCUUGGACACACUUAACAAACUCUGCCCCAUCUAAACCCUUGGAACUAAUCAAGUGCCAAUCAAUAUUAGGGAAGUUAAAGUCACCCAUGAUAACAACCCUGUUAUUUUUGCACCUUUCCAAAAUCUGCCUCCCAAUCUGCUCCUCGGUAUCUCUGUUGCUACCAGGGGGCCUAUAGAAUACCCCCAGUAGAGUAACUGCUCCCUUCCUGUUCCUGACUUCCACCCAUACUGACUCAAAAGAGGAUCCUGCUACAUUACCCACCCUUUCUGCAGCUGUAAUAGUAUCCCUGACCAGUAAUGCCACCCCUCCUCUCCCCUCUCUAUCCCUUUUAAAGCACUGAAAUCCAGGAAUAUUGAGAAUCCAUUCCUGCCCUGGUGCCAGCCAAGUCUCCGUAAUGGCCACUACAUCAUAAUUCCAUGUAUGUAUCCAAGCUCUCAGUUCAUCACCUUUGUUCCUGAUGCUUCUUGCAUUGAAGUACACACACUUUAGCCCUUCUACCUUUAUACCCUUUAUUCUGCUUCUCUUUCCUCAAAGCCUCUCUAUAUGUUAGAUCUGGCUGUACUCCAUGCACUUCUUCCACUGCUCUAUCGCUCCGGGUCCCAUCCCCCUUGCAAAUUAGUUUAAACCCUCCCGAACCAUGCUAGCAAACCUACCAGCAAGGAUAUUUCUCCCCCUCGAGUUCAGGUGCAACCCAUCCAAUCUGUACAGGUCCCACUUUCCCCAGAAGAGAUCCCAAUGGUCCAAAAAUCUAAAACCCUGCCCCCCACACCAACUCCUCAGCCACGCAUUCAACUGCCAUCUCCUCCAGUUCUUACUAUCACUAUCACGUAGCACUGGCAGUGAUCCUGAGAACGCCACCCUUGAGGUCCUGUUCUUCAGCCUUCUGUCUAGCUCCCAAAACUCACACUUCAGGACCUCAAGCCUCUUUCCUGCCUAACUGGCAGUAUUAUAGCGAAACUGCCAGCAAUAACCUUUGAGACUUAGAAAGUAAAAUGCCACUUUUAAAUGAAACUGUGUCAUAAUAUCAGAAUACGCAGCAACAUGGAGUCAGUGGCAAAUUCAGCCACGAACUGCCUGUCACCGGGUGGGGUUCUCCUUUUAUACCCUGUUGAAAAAAAACUAUCGCAUGACCUCUCACUGGCAGGAAAAUGAUGUUACUCCAUCACAAGACCAUUACCUCAUCUCCAGCAUAGCUUCAAUUAUAUCAUGGUCACAUGACAGGUACAAGAUACCCAAGGGUACCUAACACCUCCCUCCAAAAAAAAUCUUGAUCUGUCAAGAACAAAAUUUUAACAAUUAACUAUUUACAGGAGAAGAAAUACAAACAUACAAAAUUUACAAUGUACACAGUAUACAUAAUAUUAUCAUACAUCAACUGACAGAUUAUUACACAGGAGUGUUACAAAUGGUAAAAUAUCACUCCAUUAAAAAAAUUACAUUGUACAUUCAACAUCGGGAUAGACAAUCAGCAAUCACAUUAUCUUUACCUUAAUAUGAGUUAUUACAUUAUUGUACUCUUGUAACAUUAAACCUUUCGCUACUGAAUUGGAGUUUAAUGGAUUUCUUUAAUCAUUUUCUUUAACCAAGCCUGGAUUUACAACAGAACUAAGGUAAGUCACAGUGGCAUUUCCGAAUUCACUUUUAGCCAAGUUAAUAGUUAAGUUAGCUUUGGAAAGCCUUUCAAGCAAUUUCUCCACCGCAAUAAUGUGUGCUUCCCAAGUAUCAUUUCCUGUUAGCAAAUCAUCAAUAUAAGCAUCUGUAUCUUUCAAUCCCUGAAUCACAGAGUUAAUCAUCCUCUGGAAAGUACUUGGGGCAUUCUUCAUCCCAAAUGGAAGAACAUUAUAUUCAUAUAACCCAAAUGCAGAAAUCUCUCUAACCCUAUCUGUUAAUGGAACACACCAAUACCCUUUCAAUAAAUCAACCUUUGUAAGGAACUUAGCUUUUCCAACUUUAUCUACACAAUCAUCUACUCUAGGA
Molecule: long non-coding RNA, 6869 nt
Organism: Hypanus sabinus (Atlantic stingray)
Lineage: Eukaryota; Metazoa; Chordata; Chondrichthyes; Myliobatiformes; Dasyatidae
Exons: 5
Source: RefSeq, a predicted model, not a curated record